ACCUCCGUGGCGCAAUCGGCUAGCGCGUUCGGCUGUUAACCGAAAGGUGGUGGUUCGACCACCCGGGGCGA
RNAcentral lists this transfer RNA (71 nucleotides) under Stegodyphus dumicola. RNAcentral's name for it is "tRNA-Asn". It matches the Rfam family "tRNA". From Rfam's summary of the family: Transfer RNA (tRNA) molecules are approximately 80 nucleotides in length. Their secondary structure includes four short double-helical elements and three loops (D, anti-codon, and T loops). The record is from RNAcentral. Lineage: Eukaryota; Metazoa; Arthropoda; Arachnida; Araneae; Eresidae.